AUUAAGUAUAUUUGGGGUUACCAAAGAGUAUGGUAAGAACCUCAUCUUAAAUUAUACUUGAGUUCUUACAAAGAUGCAUAGGUAUAAAAUAUUUAUUAUUUUUUGUCUUUUGGUGUAUUUUUGUCAAUGAGUUAAAACCCAAAGAACAGUACAUCGAUCAGAAGUAAUAAGUUUGACUAGUGUAAUUUGAGAGAGAACACUCUGGAACACAAAAAAUAUCCUACCUCAUAAAAAUUUAACACGACAUCUUAUUUUCACCUUUUUUCAUUGAAGCAGCACACAGUGUAGUCAAGAAUGUAUGCAUGUCCUUGAACUUCUAGAAAUACAAUACCUAAUAGUUAAAACAGUCUGGUAUAAUGGUCAACAAGAGCUACAUAAAAAAAAGGAAGAUACCAAAGUUAAAUUAAAAAAAUAUGUAUUUAAUUUUUGAAAUUUACCUCAAAGGAAAGAAAAUAAAGUUUAAUUGAUUUUUUUCUUAUAUGUGUAAUGUUGUAUAUGUAUUUUUAUUUCAUUUCAGAGUUCAACAACAGAUUAUUAAUUCUAUUAUUUUGUUUUUCGCAGAUUGCAGCAGUGGGAUGUUACAGUCAUAGACGUUGGAUAGACUCCGUUGUACUAGGCCAGGGAGGGUAGCGCAGAGUUUCCGCAGCACUAUACAAUAGUAACAAGAUCACUCUACCAUGAGCUUGUUAAAGGGCCCGUUUGAUGAAAGUGACAACAACGUUCUCCACGACACUACAGAUUUGUUUUUGCAGAUGCAGCCGAGAGGAUGUUUCAGUCAUGGACUCAUUUGAUGGAAGUGACACCAACAUUCUCAAACACUAAUAAUUUACAAAUUUGUUUUUGUUGUAGAUGCAACCUCAGUCAUACACCCUAGAGUUUGGCUAUGUUGUGACAGAAGAAGAGUGGCAUGUAGAUUUCUUUUAUGGAAGUGCAAAUAACUAAUCUUUCUUCUUCAUAUCUAUUUCAGAGUUCUUACGAAGAUGUAUAGGUAUGCAGUAUUUAUUAUUUUUGUCUCUGUGUAUUUUUGUCAAUGAGGUAAAACCACAGAACAAAUCAAUCAGAAGUAUUAACUGGUGUAAUUUGAGAACACCCUGGAACACGAGAAAUAUCCUACCUCACAAAAUUUAACA
Mytilus trossulus (common blue mussel) is the source of this 1130-nucleotide long non-coding RNA. RefSeq lists it as uncharacterized. The transcript has 2 exons. Lineage: Eukaryota; Metazoa; Mollusca; Bivalvia; Mytilida; Mytilidae. The record is from RefSeq and is a predicted model, not a curated record.